RNAcentral lists this ribosomal RNA (428 nucleotides) under uncultured prokaryote. Its description in RNAcentral is "bacterial SSU rRNA". It matches the Rfam family "Bacterial small subunit ribosomal RNA", at positions 355 to 774 of the family's 1533-position model. The record is from RNAcentral.
UGAGGAAUUUUGCGCAAUGGGAGCAAUCCUGACGCAGCAACGCCGCGUGGGUGAUGAAGGCCUUCGGGUCGUAAAGCCCUGUCAGGUGGGAAGAAUGUCCCGGGACUGAACAGGUUCCGGGAGUGACGGUACCACCAGAGGACGCACCGGCUAACUCCGUGCCAGCCGCCGCGGGAAUACGGAGGGUGCAAGCGUUAUUCGGAAUUACUGGGCGUACAGCGCGUGUAGGCGGUCCUGCCAGUCUGAUGUGAAAGCCCCGGGCUUAACCCGGGAAGUGCAUUGGAAACUGUGGGACUUGAGUACUGGAGAGGAUGGGGGAAUUCCCGGUGUAGAGGUGAAAUUCGUAGAGAUCGGGAGGAAUAUCAGUGGCGAAGGCGCCCAUCUGGACGGUAACUGACGCUGAGACGCGAAAGCGUGGGGAGCAAACA